UUCGGGGGGACAGGGUGACAGGUGGUGCAUGGUUGUCGUCAGCUCGUGUCGUGAGAUGUUGGGUUAAGUCCCGCAACGAGCGCAACCCCUAUUGUUAGUUGCCAUCAUUCAGUUGGGCACUCUAGCGAGACUGCCGGUAAUAAACCGGAGGAAGGUGGGAUGACGUCAAAUCAUCAUGCCCCUUAUGACCUGGGCUACACACGUGCUACAAUGGUUGGUACAACGAGUUGCGAGUCGGUGACGGCGAGCUAAUCUCUUAAAGCCAAUCUCAGUUCGGAUUGUGGGCUGCAACUCGCCUACAUGAAGUCGGAAUCGCUAGUAAUCGCGGAUCAGCACGCCGCGGUCGAAUACGUUCCGGCCUU
This 362-nucleotide ribosomal RNA is filed under the name uncultured Streptococcus sp. Its description in RNAcentral is "bacterial SSU rRNA". It matches the Rfam family "Bacterial small subunit ribosomal RNA", at positions 1017 to 1374 of the family's 1533-position model. Lineage: Bacteria; Bacillati; Bacillota; Bacilli; Lactobacillales; Streptococcaceae. The record is from RNAcentral.